UUUAGCUACAGGCUUAACACAUGCAAGUCGAGGGGCAUCAGGAAGAAAGCUUGCUUUCUUUGCUGGCGACCGGCGCACGGGUGAGUAACACGUAUCCAACCUGCCCUUUACUCGGGGAUAGCCUUUCGAAAGAAAGAUUAAUACCCGAUAGCAUAAUGAUUCCGCAUGGUUUCAUUAUUAAAGGAUUCCGGUAAAGGAUGGGGAUGCGUUCCAUUAGGUUGUUGGUGAGGUAACGGCCCACCAAGCCUUCGAUGGAUAGGGGUUCUGAGAGGAAGGUCCCCCACAUUGGAACUGAGACACGGUCCAAACUCCUACGGGAGGCAGCAGUGAGGAAUAUUGGUCAAUGGGCGCUAGCCUGAACCAGCCAAGUAGCGUGAAGGAUGAAGGCUCUAUGGGUCGUAAACUUCUUUUAUAUAAGAAUAAAGUGCAGUAUGUAUACUGUUUUGUAUGUAUUAUAUGAAUAAGGAUCGGCUAACUCCGUGCCAGCAGCCGCGGUAAUACGGAGGAUCCGAGCGUUAUCCGGAUUUAUUGGGUUUAAAGGGAGCGUAGGUGGACUGGUAAGUCAGUUGUGAAAGUUUGCGGCUCAACCGUAAAAUUGCAGUUGAUACUGUCAGUCUUGAGUACAGUAGAGGUGGGCGGAAUUCGUGGUGUAGCGGUGAAAUGCUUAGAUAUCACGAAGAACUCCGAUUGCGAAGGCAGCUCACUGGACUGCAACUGACACUGAUGCUCGAAAGUGUGGGUAUCAAACAGGAUUAGAUACCCUGGUAGUCCACACAGUAAACGAUGAAUACUCGCUGUUUGCGAUAUACAGUAAGCGGCCAAGCGAAAGCAUUAAGUAUUCCACCUGGGGAGUACGCCGGCAACGGUGAAACUCAAAGGAAUUGACGGGGGCCCGCACAAGCGGAGGAACAUGUGGUUUAAUUCGAUGAUACGCGAGGAACCUUACCCGGGCUUAAAUUGCAGUGGAAUGAUGUGGAAACAUGUCAGUGAGCAAUCACCGCUGUGAAGGUGCUGCAUGGUUGUCGUCAGCUCGUGCCGUGAGGUGUCGGCUUAAGUGCCAUAACGAGCGCAACCCUUAUCUUUAGUUACUAACAGGUUAUGCUGAGGACUCUAGAGAGACUGCCGUCGUAAGAUGUGAGGAAGGUGGGGAUGACGUCAAAUCAGCACGGCCCUUACGUCCGGGGCUACACACGUGUUACAAUGGAGGGUACAGAAGGCAGCUAGCGGGUGACCGUAUGCUAAUCCCAAAAUCCUCUCUCAGUUCGGAUCGAAGUCUGCAACCCGACUUCGUGAAGCUGGAUUCGCUAGUAAUCGCGCAUCAGCCACGGCGCGGUGAAUACGUUCCCGGGCCUUGUACACACCGCCCGUCAAGCCAUGGGAGCCGGGGGUACCUGAAGUACGUAACCGCAAGGAUCGUCCUAGGGUAAAACUGGUGACUGG
RNAcentral lists this ribosomal RNA (1440 nucleotides) under uncultured organism. RNAcentral's name for it is "SSU rRNA". It matches the Rfam family "Bacterial small subunit ribosomal RNA". The record is from RNAcentral.